This is a non-coding RNA of Alligator mississippiensis (American alligator), 664 nucleotides long. The record is from the annotation of a RefSeq genome assembly. Lineage: Eukaryota; Metazoa; Chordata; Crocodylia; Alligatoridae.
UCCGGCUUAACUCCUGAAAGGUUCCUCCUUAAAUACCAUCCCCAGCUCUGGGUGCCUCAGUGUCUCCACAGACUUGCCCCCUCCUGCCUGUUGAGGACACCAGGCAUCAGCCAAAAUGACCAUGACACCAACAUUGGCUUUGCUGACCCUGCUGGCAGCCCCCCUGGGUAUCCUGUCCCAGGUCACACUGAAGGAGUCUGGCCCUGGGGUGGUGAAGCCUGGAGAAACCCUCAGCAUGACCUGUGCUGUCUCCGGGGUCUCUAUUACUGAUAGCAGCUAUGCCUGGAGCUGGAUCCGGCAGCCUCCUGGGAAAGGGCUGGAGUGGAUGGGAUACAUAUAUCCUGCUGGUGGGAGCACAAGCUACAACCCUUCUCUCCAGAGCCGCAUCACCAUGUCUGGAGACAGCUCCAAGAACCAGUUCUCCCUGCAGCUGCGCUCCCUGACAGCUUCAGACACCGCCAUGUAUUACUGUGCCAGAGACACAAUGCAGCUGCUCCAGUCUGGCCCUGAAGUAGUGAAGCCUGGAGACACCCCUAUCCUGACCAGUGCUGUCACAGGUCAGUCUGUGAGCACCACUGGGUAUCGCUGGAACUGGAUCCAGCAGCCUCCUGGGAAAGGCCCAGAGUGGAUGGGACUGGGAAGUGAAGUCCAGGUGAUACUGUGA